AGGGAGACAUGGAUCAGCCACCCAGCUCGGCUUCCAGGCCCCCGACCUCCUUUCAGGUCAUCUUCCCCACUUGACAGGCCGAAGUCGGAUCUAAAGUCCGCCUUCCCUCCGCGCGGCUUUGUAGCGCCACUCAUUAUGCUUCAGCCACAGAAGCCAGCGGCCCUGACUCCUUUCACCUGACGCUCUGCCUCACCCAGCACACAGCCCGGCCCCCACCAGCCCACCUCGAAGAGCCCCGUCCUCAGAGCCUGGAAGGCCACACUGAAGGCAGCUGGGUUGUGAAAAGGGUGAAGAGGUCAGAAGAGUCAAGGCCGCCCGCAGCGCCAGCGUUCCCUUUAAGAUCUGCACUUUCUGCAGAACAAAAGACUCAUUCAGGCGACCAAAGGAAAGAAGGAAAGAAGAAAGGAGACUAACAGACAAGAGUUGAAAGCAGACAUUGUCAAGGACAUGACAAGUUUAAGAAAGUGAUACUGAAAAAACUCGAUAGAACCCAGACCCAUAGAUCCUGACAUCCUAGUCCCCUGCCCUGCACCCCACAA
This is a non-coding RNA of Kogia breviceps (pygmy sperm whale), 539 nucleotides long. NCBI's taxonomy places the organism in Eukaryota, Metazoa, Chordata, Mammalia, Artiodactyla, Physeteridae. The record is from RefSeq and is a predicted model, not a curated record.